AGGCCUGUAGCUCUAAUUGGCUAGAGCAGUGGUCUCCAAAGCCGCGUGAUGGGGGUUCGAAUCCCUCCAGGCCUGCCA
This 78-nucleotide transfer RNA is filed under the name Candidatus Omnitrophota bacterium. Its description in RNAcentral is "tRNA-Trp". It matches the Rfam family "tRNA". Rfam says of the family: Transfer RNA (tRNA) molecules are approximately 80 nucleotides in length. Their secondary structure includes four short double-helical elements and three loops (D, anti-codon, and T loops). RNAcentral also lists the same sequence under 1 other name. Lineage: Bacteria; Pseudomonadati; Candidatus Omnitrophota. The record is from RNAcentral.